Molecule: ribosomal RNA, 497 nt
Filed under: uncultured Alphaproteobacteria bacterium
Lineage: Bacteria; Pseudomonadati; Pseudomonadota; Alphaproteobacteria
Description: bacterial SSU rRNA
Rfam family: Bacterial small subunit ribosomal RNA
Source: RNAcentral
GGCGGCAGGCCUANCACAUGCAAGUCGAACGGAUCCUUCGGGAUUAGUGGCGGACGGGUGAGUAACACGUGGGAACGUGCCCUUUGGUUCGGGACAACUCAGGGAAACUUGAGCUAAUACCGGAUGUGCCCUUCGGGGGAAAGAUUUAUCGCCAUUGGAGCGGCCCGCGUCUGAUUAGCUUGUUGGUGAGGUAAAGGCUCACCAAGGCUACGAUCAGUAGCUGGUCUGAGAGGGUGAUCAGCCACACUGGGACUGAGACACGGCCCAGACUCCUACGGGAGGCAGCAGUGGGGAAUCUUGCGCAAUGGGCGAAAGCCUGACGCAGCCAUGCCGCGUGAAUGAUGAAGGUCUUAGGAUUGUAAAAUUCUUUCAGCAGGGACGAUAAUGACGGUACCUGCAGAAUAAGCCCCGGCUAACUUCGUGCCAGCAGCCGCGGUAAUACGAAGGGGGCUAGCGUUGCUCGGAAUUACUGGGCGUAAAGGGCGCGUAGGCGGGUC